Mus pahari (shrew mouse) is the source of this 564-nucleotide non-coding RNA. The record is from the annotation of a RefSeq genome assembly. NCBI's taxonomy places the organism in Eukaryota, Metazoa, Chordata, Mammalia, Rodentia, Muridae.
UCUUCUCAGGCUGUCUCCUCAAGCUCCCUCUUGAAAAUGAAGCUGCCUGUUAGGCUGUUGGUGCUGUUGUUCUGGAUUCCUGUUUCCAGCAGUGAUGUUGUGAUGACCCAAACUCCAGUCUCCCUGCCUGUCAGUCUUGGAGAUCAAGCCUCCAUCUCUUGCAGGUCUAGUCAGAGCAUUGUAAGCAGUAGUGGAAACACCUAUUUAGAAUGGUACCUGCAGAAGCCAGGCCAAUCUCCAAAGCUCCUGAUCUACAAGGUUUCCAACCGAUUUUCUGGGGUCCCAGACAGGUUCAGUGGCAGUGGUUCAGGGACUGAUUUCACACUCAAGAUCAGCAGAGUGGAGGCUGAGGAUUUGGGAGUUUAUUACUGUUUCCAAUAUACACAUGAUCCUCCCACAUCCAAUCUUUACAUCAGUAUCUGGUGGGCAGCCAAGAGCAACGGCAAUAACCUACUGUUGCUAUACAUUUCCAGACCAAAUAUGCCGUGGCAACAAAAACUCAACUCAGUUAAUAUGAUUAUCCCUAAGCCUGUUGGUGAAAAGAUAAGAAUUCAUGGAAAUCAA